Molecule: long non-coding RNA, 2935 nt
Organism: Amphiprion ocellaris (clown anemonefish)
Lineage: Eukaryota; Metazoa; Chordata; Actinopteri; Pomacentridae
Source: Ensembl
AUUUAUUAUUACUUUUAUCAGAUUCUAAUUAUUUCUGUGACCAUUGUGGGUUUUUCUUCCAUUAACUGAGGGGUACCAACAAUUUUGUCCAUGUGUGUAAUCUAGCCUGUUAUUCAAUAAUUAGUUUUUUCCCCUGUUUCAGAGGUGACAUAUUGCGGCUAUAAAAUAUUUCUUCCUGCAUAGAAGAAUUUGUCCUGUAAAGGCAACAAGCUUGUGUUACCAUGCAUCUUCAUUUUGAGAUACGAAAAACCUUGUUUCAGUACUGAAAAUAGAACUUUACAUCUGCUACAGCUAUUUAAUGUUUCUUUAUAAACAUUUCUUGUGCUACCCUGCAUUACAGCAACAUGGUCAUAGGUGAUGUGAUGUGAUGUAAUCAAAUCAAUAUGCACUUACUAAUUUUAUGUUUUUGGUCAGAAGGAGCUUUGCAUACAAAAGUUGGCGUAGUAUGUUUUGUAAUGAUACUCGGUUGUUAUUUUAACCCUACAGAGUGGCCUGCUGUCCAUGAGAACCUGAAACCUUUGGGGAUUGGCAGUGUAAUCAAAUGAGGCUUCAGUGUGAAGCAGGAAAUGUGCUCACAGUGGUUUAUCAUUGUCACUUACCAGUGUCAAAUCGUGUUAUUGCAUUGGAGUUUAUUAAAUACAGACACGGGUGCCUUAGCUGAAUGUCGAACAUUUUAGAUGAUUGUUUUGGUCUUUUAGGUGAUAAACCUGGAAACAUGGAAAAGUAUCACUCUAAACUAAGUGGAAUUUGUUUACCCAAACCACAGAUUAUGGAUAUGAGGUGCUCAGGUGAUUUAGUAUUUCACUUUUAUAAAGCUCAGGGUUGCAAAAAAAGAGUGGUGAAAAUCAAGCUCCAAAAACACUUCAUCCCCUAAUAUGUAACAUAAUGCAACUCGAAAGCAUCUCCACAACUCUAGGCUGUUAUGCAGACUUAUAUAAAUUUGUAGCCUCCGAACCCAAACAGAGUUUCUGCAACUGUUUCCACAAGAUGCACAGUAAAUAAGACACUGUGCAUUUCCAGUUUGAUUUAAAUGCAUCAUUAGUGUUUGGUAAAAUGCAAGUCGGGAUGUCUUCAGAGAUAUGGCAAAAGGACUCUUUUUUCAGUCUUAACUUCACAAUACAAAAUAUUACAUGACUACAGCAGCUUAUAUGACAUGUAAAUACUCCAUUUAAUUACUGAAAAAGUUUAUGUACUGCAUUGUUAAUUCCCUGCUUUUAUGAUAAAUUUCAGAUGCAUUUUGAAGACGUUUUUACGAAAUUGUAUGAAAUGUUAUUCUGUACACAGUUUGUUUAUUUCUAUUGUGUAUAUGAACACCUGUUGGUUCUGUGGGGCUGAGGUGCCUUGUCUUGUUUUGGGAGUUUUCAAAAUGCCAUAAAGGCUGUGUUUGCAGGACUACAUCGUCACUGUACAUCAAAAGCUACUAAUUAUGAUUUAAUACAGUUAUUCAGUGUACCCACAGUGUUGGUUAGAGUGAAUGAGUAUUGCGUUUUUAUAGAGAACCUUAAAAAUAUUCCGUCUACAAGUAUAUAUACAUCUUGUCAAAAUAGUACCUAAACUGCUUUGUAUGUGCUGUCUCUCAAACUUAGCUUGGCUGUCUAUCAGUGAACAUCUUUGGUAAUUUACUCAUACCCCAUACUUUGUAGUAUUGUAAGUAAAACUUAUUCUAUUCCCUUGGCCAGAGUAAUCAGACAGCAGCUCACUAAGGUUGCAAGCAACAAUUAUUUCCAUUGUUGAUUAUUUUCUGCAGAUUUUCUUUGACAAUCAUCAGUGAGUCCACUGGUCCACAAGAAAUGGUGGAAAAAUAACACAUUUUUAGAAUCAGAUUUUUCCAGUCAGCGAUCCACAAUGCCUGUUUACAGUCACAUAUGAAAGAAGCACAGUGAUGAAACCAGUAACCAGUAUAGAUUUUUAUAUGAAAAGGGACUUGAACUAUCAAUUAUCGUUACAGUUUCGGAUUCAUUUCAAAACCACCAGCAUCUGCUUCAUUCUCUCAGCUCUGCUCCCUUAUGAUGAGUGAAUUCAUGACUGCUUGUACACAUAAAGCUCUUUCCGCAUUCUCGCUUAUAAUGAAAUAAUCUCUGUCAUCUGUACCUUGUGGACUGGUAACGGAUAGAACUCUUCAUACAAAACAUUUUAAAGCCACGCGAUUAACACUGCACUACUAGUACCAGCAUCAACCAAGGAAUGCCUAAUCAACUAACGUAGAAUGAACGUUAAUCCCUUAACCCUCAGGAAGUGUGUCUGUGGAAUGAAUGUCAAUGAGUCCAAUCAGACACCUCCAGUGUAGACAGGACACAUUUCGUAGGCAUUUAGUCAGAUUGUACAAUACAAGCUGAAACACAAACUAAUAAAUCAUGCCAGCAGUUGCUGAUGUUCAUGCAGUAAUCUCCUGUUUGUCUUCAGUCAGUUUAAUGUAUAUGUUUAAUGUAAUUCAGUUCUCUGGGCUGUUGUGUGUUUGCUGGCUUCUGUAAGUUCUGUGGUCUGUCUGGGGACAUUGUGCCACAUUUUACUGGAGGCUGGAAAUGGGAGUAUGACAAUAAAUGUUUUUUUUUUUUUUUAAUGAAGCAUUCUGUUGUGGGUUAAUCUGCCUCCUCAGUCUCAUAUACUGGAGCAGGGGUGUCAAACAUGUGGCCUGUGGGCCAAAACCAGCCCUCCAGGCGGUCCAAUCCGGCCACCAGGACCACUUUGUAAAAUGUAAAAAUUACAGAGAAGACGUUAACUGUAAAUUUGUAAAGCCAUAAAUUUAAAAAAAAAAAAUAAAAAAUCUAGAUCAUGACAAGUUGUUUGAUCAUAAAGGAAAGUACUAGAUUGCUCACUGUUCUUUAGUCAUUGUGUCUCAUUUUUGCAAUAGUUUGUCUUCUUUUUUUGUCUGACUUUUGUUGUUUGUCUCAUGUUGUUUGUCGUUUUGUUUCUCGUUUUUGUCUUUUUAUGUUUC